UACGGGGGGGGCAAGCGUUGUUCGGAAUUACUGGGCGUAAAGGGCUCGUAGGUGGCCAACUAAGUCAGACGUGAAAUCCCUCGGCUUAACCGGGGAACUGCGUCUGAUACUGGAUGGCUUGAGGUUGGGAGAGGGAUGCGGAAUUCCAGGUGUAGCGGUGAAAUGCGUAGAUAUCUGGAGGAACACCGGUGGCGAAGGCGGGUCUCUGGGCAUCUCCUGACGCUGAGGCGCGAAAGCGUGGGGAGCAAACGGG
Molecule: ribosomal RNA, 253 nt
Filed under: uncultured bacterium
Lineage: Bacteria
Description: partial 16S ribosomal RNA
Rfam family: Bacterial small subunit ribosomal RNA
Source: RNAcentral